ACACAUGCAGUCGAACGAUGAACCUCACUUGUGGGGGGAUUAGUGGCGAACGGGUGAGUAACACGUGAGUAACCUGCCCUUAACUCUGGGAUAAGCCUGGGAAACUGGGUCUAAUACCGGAUAUGACUCCUCAUCGCAUGGUGGGGGGUGGAAAGCUUUUUGUGGUUUUGGAUGGACUCGCGGCCUAUCAGCUUGUUGGUGAGGUAAUGGCUCACCAAGGCGACGACGGGUAGCCGGCCUGAGAGGGUGACCGGCCACACUGGGACUGAGACACGGCCCAGACUCCUACGGGAGGCAGCAGUGGGGAAUAUUGCACAAUGGGCGCAAGCCUGAUGCAGCGACGCCGCGUGAGGGAUGACGGCCUUCGGGUUGUAAACCUCUUUCAGUAGGGAAGAAGCGAAAGUGACGGUACCUGCAGAAGAAGCGCCGGCUAACUACGUGCCAGCAGCCGCGGUAAUACGUAGGGCGCAAGCGUUAUCCGGAAUUAUUGGGCGUAAAGAGCUCGUAGGCGGUUUGUCGCGUCUGCCGUGAAAGUCCGGGGCUCAACUCCGGAUCUGCGGUGGGUACGGGCAGACUAGAGUGAUGUAGGGGAGACUGGAAUUCCUGGUGUAGCGGUGAAAUGCGCAGAUAUCAGGAGGAACACCGAUGGCGAAGGCAGGUCUCUGGGCAUUAACUGACGCUGAGGAGCGAAAGCAUGGGGAGCGAACAGGAUUAGAUACCCUGGUAGUCCAUGCCGUAAACGUUGGGCACUAGGUGUGGGGACAUUCCACGUUUUCCGCGCCGUAGCUAACGCAUUAAGUGCCCGCCU
Molecule: ribosomal RNA, 808 nt
Filed under: uncultured bacterium
Lineage: Bacteria
Description: bacterial SSU rRNA
Rfam family: Bacterial small subunit ribosomal RNA
Source: RNAcentral